This 22-nucleotide unclassified non-coding RNA is filed under the name Mus musculus (house mouse). RNAcentral's name for it is "oocyte_clustered_small_RNA11164". The record is from RNAcentral. Lineage: Eukaryota; Metazoa; Chordata; Mammalia; Rodentia; Muridae.
UCCUCCUGUCUUCCUCACGGCU